UGUAGGGCUUCGGCUUUAUUUGUGGGAGUUUAUGAACCCACAAAGCAGAAACUGCUGAAGGGAGCUUUCCUGAUCAUUUAAGAUUGCGGUUGCUCACUUGACUGCAGGGGGCCGGGGCCAUCGGUGGACUUGUUGCCUCUCUGAUUCGAGUGCCUACAGAGGUUGCGAAUGCAGACUGGACAGCAAUGACAUGGACUUGCUCGUAUGCAACAUCUAUAUUAUUAAAAUAGAAGUAUACUUUGAAAAUAUCCCUAAAUUUUUGAAGUUAUUUAUAUUAGAAUGCCACUAAAGUAAUAAAUUAAUUUCCCUUAA
This is a long non-coding RNA of Raphanus sativus (radish), 312 nucleotides long. RefSeq lists it as uncharacterized. The record is from RefSeq and is a predicted model, not a curated record. Lineage: Eukaryota; Viridiplantae; Streptophyta; Magnoliopsida; Brassicales; Brassicaceae. The transcript has 3 exons.